CACACACACACACACACACACACAAACACAUAACCCAUAAAUAAUUGACUUCCUCUGUGUUUUGUGUUGCAGGUUGGAUUUAUACAAGAUAUGAAGUGUAUUCUCCACAAGGAAGGUACAGCCUCACAGCACAGCUCAGGAGUAUGAGAACUGCAAGACCCAGUCUGUGAAAAUCUUCCUGUUCAUCGAGCCCACCUUCAAAAAUUGCAGAAAUACCGAAAAAGUCCUCAAUCCACACCCUUUCAAGCAUGGUCUUCUGGGAUUUGUAGACAUCACAGCCACUAACAACACCAAUUCAAUUCAAGAUUACUUACAACAGCUCACUGGAGUGAGAAUAGUCCCUUGGGACUUUAUAGGUAAUCAAAGACUUCAUAGGCAGACACAGUGAUCUAAUCUCCCUAAAACAGAAUGGGGAGCUAAUGAUGUGGCCAAAGCAGAUUGUAGCUCUGCUGUUAUGAAAAGGGUGGCAGUAAACCCCAUGCUGACAGCAAACAUUCAGGCAUGCUGAAGGUCAGUGCAUCUGGGAGUUGAUGUGCAUCAUGGAGGAGGACAGUAUUUUCUUGUGACUUGGAUUUUCAAAAAAAAUGGCUUUUAUUCUAUUCCUCAGUGCUUAAAUUUGAUGCUGUUUGCUUGAAAACAUGAGGUAGGGAAGCUUAACAGAUCACACAGAUUUGAUUAUCCAUACUUCAUGUGCUGACAUGUUUCUACCUUUAAGCCCAUGUUUCACAAUCCAGUGCAUCUAAAUCUCCAGUGAAUCAAUUACUGUUUUUCUACCAUGCAGUUCUGCUGAUGUCAUUUUGCAGGAGUCCACUUCCUAAUGAUUAUUAAAACGAGGAAUAUUGUGAAGUUGUGUAUGAUCUACACACAGGCCUUUCACACUUCUGCAUCUCCAACUCUCAAAUGGUGUUCUCAAACUUUCCUUCCCACAAGCACAGAAGUCCACAAUGGUAUGAGGAUUCUGUCUGAAAAAUCAGGUGAAGAACUUUAGCAUAGUUGUUCCUCUGUGUAGCAAUAUUAAUGGCAGAGGAUGUGAUGAAUUCAACUCUGUUCACAAACUGGUUAAUUGCCAAGAAAAUCCCAAACAGUUGUGAGUUGAUUCUAGUCAGAGUCUCAGAAAAGUCAUAUAUGAAAUUCAAAAUUUCAGUGCUCUCCUUCAAAGACUGUCUAUGAAAGAAGUUGCUGGCAUAGCACUGUCCUAAACUAUUUAUUCCAUUCACACUUUUAUAUUUUUUAUAUUUUGCUUUGAUGUCUUGCAAUGAUGUUUAUUAAUCAUGGAAAUGCAUGUCUCUUCUCAGGUCUCCAAUGAGAAGGAUUCAUUCUUUAAAAAGAUGUAUGUGCAGGUGACUAAAAAAAUAAAAAUAAUAAUGAC
Rattus norvegicus (Norway rat) is the source of this 1369-nucleotide non-coding RNA. NCBI's taxonomy places the organism in Eukaryota, Metazoa, Chordata, Mammalia, Rodentia, Muridae. The record is from RefSeq and is a predicted model, not a curated record.